Molecule: ribosomal RNA, 434 nt
Filed under: uncultured bacterium
Lineage: Bacteria
Description: partial 16S ribosomal RNA
Rfam family: Bacterial small subunit ribosomal RNA
Source: RNAcentral
AGCGAACGCUGGCGGCAGGCCUAACACAUGCAAGUCGAACGAACCUUUCGGGGUUAGUGGCGGACGGGUGAGUAACACGUUAGAACGUGCCUUUAGUUUCGGCAUAACUCAGGGAAACUUGUGCUAAUACCGAAUGUGCCCUUCGGGGGCAAGAUUACUCGCCUUUAGAGCCGCCCGCGGCUGAUUAGCUAGUUGGUUGACGUAAUGGCUCAGCAAGGCGACGGUCAGUAGCUGGGCGGAGAGGAUGAUCAGCCACAUUGGGACUGAGACACGGCCCAAACUCCUACGGGAGGGAGCAGUGGGGAAUCUUGCGCAAUGGGCGAAAGCGUGACGCAGCCAUGCCGGGGGAAUGAUGAAGGGCUUAGGAUUGUAAAAUUCUUUCGCCGGGGACGAUAAUGACGGUACCCGGAGAAGAAGCCCCGGCUAACUUCGUG